RNAcentral lists this ribosomal RNA (504 nucleotides) under Escherichia coli. Its description in RNAcentral is "bacterial SSU rRNA". It matches the Rfam family "Bacterial small subunit ribosomal RNA", at positions 1041 to 1533 of the family's 1533-position model. Lineage: Bacteria; Pseudomonadati; Pseudomonadota; Gammaproteobacteria; Enterobacterales; Enterobacteriaceae. RNAcentral also lists the same sequence under 2 other names. The record is from RNAcentral.
CUGCAUGGCUGUCGUCAGCUCGUGUUGUGAAAUGUUGGGUUAAGUCCCGCAACGAGCGCAACCCUUAUCCUUUGUUGCCAGCGGUCCGGCCGGGAACUCAAAGGAGACUGCCAGUGAUAAACUGGAGGAAGGUGGGGAUGACGUCAAGUCAUCAUGGCCCUUACGACCAGGGCUACACACGUGCUACAAUGGCGCAUACAAAGAGAAGCGACCUCGCGAGAGCAAGCGGACCUCAUAAAGUGCGUCGUAGUCCGGAUUGGAGUCUGCAACUCGACUCCAUGAAGUCGGAAUCGCUAGUAAUCGUGGAUCAGAAUGCCACGGUGAAUACGUUCCCGGGCCUUGUACACACCGCCCGUCACACCAUGGGAGUGGGUUGCAAAAGAAGUAGGUAGCUUAACCUUCGGGAGGGCGCUUACCACUUUGUGAUUCAUGACUGGGGUGAAGUCGUAACAAGGUAACCGUAGGGGAACCUGCGGUUGGAUCACCUCCUUACCUUAAAGAAGC